This is a non-coding RNA of Sphingomonas sp. LH128, 100 nucleotides long. The record is from Rfam. Lineage: Bacteria; Pseudomonadati; Pseudomonadota; Alphaproteobacteria; Sphingomonadales; Sphingomonadaceae.
CCGGACGCUGAAAACCGGGUCUGGUGGACAUUGAGAGUGCCGGCUCUCUCCGGCACGUCUCAUGCCCGAAUUGCUCAAUAGGAGGAUUUGGAAAUGAGAA